Molecule: ribosomal RNA, 230 nt
Filed under: uncultured bacterium
Lineage: Bacteria
Description: partial 16S ribosomal RNA
Rfam family: Bacterial small subunit ribosomal RNA
Source: RNAcentral
UGAGGAACAUGACCCUCGGCGGGGGAUAGCCGGCCCAACGGCCGGGUAAUACCGCGUACGACCACAUGGGGACAUCCCUGAGUGGUGAAAGCAGCAAUGCGCCGAUGGAGUGCCUCGCGGCCUAUCAGCUAGUUGGUGAGGUAACGGCUCACCAAGGCAACGAUGCGUAGCCGACCUGAGAGGGUGAUCGGCCACAUUGGAACUGAGACACGGUCCAGACUCUACGGGAG